RNAcentral lists this ribosomal RNA (461 nucleotides) under uncultured Desulfobulbus sp. RNAcentral's name for it is "bacterial SSU rRNA". It matches the Rfam family "Bacterial small subunit ribosomal RNA", at positions 926 to 1382 of the family's 1533-position model. The record is from RNAcentral. Lineage: Bacteria; Pseudomonadati; Thermodesulfobacteriota; Desulfobulbia; Desulfobulbales; Desulfobulbaceae.
CAAGCGGUGGAGUAUGUGGUUUAAUUCGAUGCAACGCGAAGAACCUUACCUGGUCUUGACAUCCCGGAGACCCUUAGGAAACUAGGGGUGCUUCCAUCUGGAAGAAUCUGGAGACAGGUGCUGCAUGGCUGUCGUCAGCUCGUGUCGUGAGAUGUUGGGUUAAGUCCCGCAACGAGCGCAACCCUUGCCUUUAGUUGCCAGCAGUUCGGCUGGGCACUCUAAAGGGACUGCCGGUGUUAAACCGGAGGAAGGUGGGGAUGACGUCAAGUCCUCAUGGCCUUUAUGACCAGGGCUACACACGUACUACAAUUGCCGAUACAAAGGGCAGCGACACUGCGAGGUGAAGCCAAUCCCGUAAAAUCGGUCUCAGUCCGGAUUGGAGUCUGCAACUCGACUCCAUGAAGUUGGAAUCGCUAGUAAUCGUGGAUCAGCAUGCCACGGUGAAUACGUUCCCGGGCCUU